CCCUUAGAUGUCCUGGGCCGCACGCGUGCUACACUGACGCCUACAGCGAGUACUUCCCAGCCCCGAGAGGUGGCUGGUAAUCAGCAAUAGGCGUCGUGAUGGGGAUAGAUCUUUGGAAUUAUGGAUCUUGAACGAGGAGUGCCUAGUAAGCGCAGGUCAUUAGCCUGCGCUGAUUAAGUCCCUGCCCUUUGUACACACCGCCCGUCGCUCCUACCGAUUUCGAGUGGUCCGGUGAAUCUUUCGGACUGCGCGCGGCCUCGUGCCGUGUCGCGGAAAGUCAGGUAAACCUUAUCACUUAGAGGAAGGAGAAGUCGUAACA
RNAcentral lists this ribosomal RNA (319 nucleotides) under uncultured eukaryote. Its description in RNAcentral is "partial 18S ribosomal RNA". It matches the Rfam family "Eukaryotic small subunit ribosomal RNA", at positions 1470 to 1796 of the family's 1831-position model. The record is from RNAcentral.